AUUGAACGCUGGCGGCAGGCCUAACACAUGCAAGUCGAACGGUAACAGGAAACAGCUUGCUGUUUCGCUGACGAGUGGCGGACGGGUGAGUAAUGUCUGGGAAACUGCCUGAUGGAGGGGGAUAACUACUGGAAACGGUAGCUAAUACCGCAUAACGUCGCAAGACCAAAGAGGGGGACCCUCGGGCCUCUUGCCAUCGGAUGUGCCCAGAUGGGAUUAGCUUGUUGGUGGGGUAACGGCUCACCAAGGCGACGAUCCCUAGCUGGUCUGAGAGGAUGACCAGCCACACUGGAACUGAGACACGGUCCAGACUCCUACGGGAGGCAGCAGUGGGGAAUAUUGCACAAUGGGCGCAAGCCUGAUGCAGCCAUGCCGCGUGUAUGAAGAAGGCCUUCGGGUUGUAAAGUACUUUCAGCGGGGAGGAAGGGAGUAAAGUUAAUACCUUUGCUCAUUGACGUUACCCGCAGAAGAAGCACCGGCUAACUCUGUGCCAGCAGCCGCGGUAAUACGGAGGGUGCAAGCGUUAAUCGGAAUUACUGGGCGUAAAGCGCACGCAGGCGGUUUGUUAAGUCAGAUGUGAAAUCCCCGGGCUCAACCUGGGAACUGCAUCUGAUACUGGCAAGCUUGAGUCUCGUAGAGGGGGGUAGAAUUCCAGGUGUAGCGGUGAAAUGCGUAGAGAUCUGGAGGAAUACCGGUGGCGAAGGCGGCCCCCUGGACGAAGACUGACGCUCAGGUGCGAAAGCGUGGGGAGCAAACAGGAUUAGAUACCCUGGUAGUCCACGCCGUAAACGAUGUCGACUUGGAGGUUGUGCCCUUGAGGCGUGGCUUCCGGAGCUAACGCGUUAAGUCGACCGCCUGGGGAGUACGGCCGCAAGGUUAAAACUCAAAUGAAUUGACGGGGGCCCGCACAAGCGGUGGAGCAUGUGGUUUAAUUCGAUGCAACGCGAAGAACCUUACCUGGUCUUGACAUCCACGGAAGUUUUCAGAGAUGAGAAUGUGCCUUCGGGAACCGUGAGACAGGUGCUGCAUGGCUGUCGUCAGCUCGUGUUGUGAAAUGUUGGGUUAAGUCCCGCAACGAGCGCAACCCUUAUCCUUUGUUGCCAGCGGUCCGGCCGGGAACUCAAAGGAGACUGCCAGUGAUAAACUGGAGGAAGGUGGGGAUGACGUCAAGUCAUCAUGGCCCUUACGACCAGGGCUACACACGUGCUACAAUGGCGCAUACAAAGAGAAGCGACCUCGCGAGAGCAAGCGGACCUCAUAAAGUGCGUCGUAGUCCGGAUUGGAGUCUGCAACUCGACUCCAUGAAGUCGGAAUCGCUAGUAAUCGUGGAUCAGAAUGCCACGGUGAAUACGUUCCCGGGCCU
Molecule: ribosomal RNA, 1363 nt
Filed under: uncultured bacterium
Lineage: Bacteria
Description: bacterial SSU rRNA
Rfam family: Bacterial small subunit ribosomal RNA
Source: RNAcentral